GUAGGGCGCGAGCGUUGUCCGGAGUUAUUGGGCGUAAAGAGCUCGUAGGCGGCUCAUUGCGUCAACCGUGAAAACCUGCCGCUCAACGGUAGGCUUGCGGUUGAUACGGGUGGGCUGGAGUUCGGUAGGGGAGACUGGAAUUCCUGGUGUAGCGGUGAAAUGCGCAGAUAUCAGGAGGAACACCGGUGGCGAAGGCGGGUCUCUGGGCCGAUACUGACGCUGAGGAGCGAAAGCGUGGGGAGCGAACAGG
This 250-nucleotide ribosomal RNA is filed under the name uncultured bacterium. RNAcentral describes it as "partial 16S ribosomal RNA". It matches the Rfam family "Bacterial small subunit ribosomal RNA", at positions 527 to 776 of the family's 1533-position model. The record is from RNAcentral.